UACGGAGGGUGCAAGCGUUAUCCGGAUUUACUGGGUUUAAAGGGUGCGCAGGCGGAUAUGUAAGUCAGUGGUGAAAUCUCUAGGCUUAACCUGGAAAUUGCCGUUGAUACUAUAUAUCUUGAAUGCUGUGGAGGUAAGCGGAAUAUGUCAUGUAGCGGUGAAAUGCUUAGAUAUGACAUAGAACACCUAUUGCGAAGGCAGCUUACUACGCAGAUAUUGACGCUCAUGCACGAAAGCGUGGGGAUCAACAGG
RNAcentral lists this ribosomal RNA (252 nucleotides) under uncultured bacterium. RNAcentral describes it as "partial 16S ribosomal RNA". It matches the Rfam family "Bacterial small subunit ribosomal RNA", at positions 524 to 775 of the family's 1533-position model. The record is from RNAcentral.